ACGAUGCAGUUUUGUGCACUAAAUUCGCAUCGCACACCUGGUGGUUAGUUCGUUUGUUUGUUGAGUGCGUAUUUAUGCAUCAGUGUGUUUACCUCGCGUUGAGAGUGGAGACGUACUUUUCAUUCUCGAAUAUCUCAUAAACUAAAAGUGAUAGAACAGAAGGCAUUAAACAUUCUUAACUAAGUGUUUAAUCAAUUUUUUUCGAAAAUUUUCGGUUACGGACAUCUUCUAAAUUACAAGUGUUAGUGAUAGUGCCCAUUGGUUUGAAGACAACGAGACUUCGGAAAAUUUUAUAUAAGGUCUGCAAUCGAGGCAAAUACUUUGGGAUUUAUUGACGAAGACGCCAAUGUCGGCAAUGUCGCCAUUAUCUGACGAGAUAAUCGAAUUCGCAUCGGUGAAUCUGAGUUCCGCACCGAAAGCUUCGAUGUGAAGGCGCCGGGCGAAUUAGGACGGGCGUGCUUCUUGAGUCCCUUUUUACCCUCAACGGUCGGCAAAGGGAUCAUUAAUUUCGAGAAAGCAAUCGGCACACAAAGAUGAUAAAGAAAACCCGUCUACGUGACUUCUCAACCGGCAACAAGCACCUCUGUCUUAAUUUGCGGGAUACGAAAUAUAGGUAACUUUGGCUACGGUUCUGGUUUGUCGCAUUUCCUGGAUCGGAGAACAAUUUAUUCCACUUCUUUUAUUAUGGGAGGAUUCUGUAGAAAAUGGAAAAUGCAGUUGUUACAGCACAUGAAAAGAAGUAUUUCUUGUUUCCAUCUCUUAAGGUUGCCUAUAUUCAAAUUGUCAAUGAAUUUGGCAUCGCUCAAAAAAUAUGAAUCAAUAACUGAAGAUAAACAUGUACAAUUCUGUUUGGAAAUAUAGAGGAAAGCGGGGAAGAAGAACUUUGCUUUGCAGACAACUGAGGUCCAGUGGUAUGCAAAGGCGCGCAUGGUCGCUGGGGCAUACUUUUACAUUGUUGGUCGUGAUCCUGCAGGUGUCCCACAUCCACUUGGCAAAGAAGGAUCGUCUUUUGCUGGUUGAAGAAGACUCCCGGAUUAUCGUCGGUUGAAAUAAUAUCAUUCCGUGUAGCUGCAUAUAACGCCAAGCUUUGUAAAAUGGAUUUCCUUGACUUCUAGCAGGAAGGAUGAUUUUGAUUUUAUUUCGGGCACUCGCAUGCGAGGCUUGGCAAGAUCCGGGAUCAACUCACCACAAGGAUUCAUGUCACCGAAAACCUGGUAAAUAUUAUCUACAUGCCAUCAGAACUUAAAAAAUAAUUGAAAUAUGUACAUUUAUAAAUAUCUAUUAUCUAUCUAAAUAUGAACUGUUGUACGUUAGUUGCACUAAUAGUAAACUGUAUUUUUUUUUGUAAUUUUAUUUGCUUCCGAAAAUGGUCUCCAGCUUGCAAUUAAUUAGCUGACGUUGGGAGCGCCGUAAAAAUACUGUCUAGUGUGCGAGUUGUGAUAUCCAGGUAUAGUUUAGAUACACGAAUAUUUGUAUAUUUGUAAACAAUUUUUUGUUGAGCCUAUCGCAAUAGCCACACCGCGUGACGUCGUGGUCGUUUCAGAGCGCGCAUUCAGUUCCACUCCGGUUGCCGAGCGAAACAUGCGUGUUCAUCGCGACUAGUUUUAUCUCUUCUUAAUAUAAAUUGAUCGUAAAUCGAUUUAUAUACAAUAAAAGAACGACGACGUUUAUUAGAAUUGCGCGUGAUCGGAAUUUCGCCAGAUAAUAAGCACGAGUGAACUACUGUCGGUCGUCGGGAAUAUUUUUCGCGUGUGGAUUAUACUGCACUUGUGUUGGCCUGCAUGUGCACGGCGUGCGUGUCCGUCGGCUAUCGGUUAUUGCCCAGAAUAACUUGGAUUUAUGUUUAAUGCGCAUAAGUAUACAACGGAUGUGCCUGGAGAAGAUACGCUUACAAGGACCCUGGAGUUCCAAAUAUUCAUCGCAGAAGAGUUGCAAAUGUGCGCAUAUUUUAAGGCAAGUUUUCCGCCGCAUUUAAUAG
Molecule: long non-coding RNA, 1978 nt
Organism: Dalotia coriaria
Lineage: Eukaryota; Metazoa; Arthropoda; Insecta; Coleoptera; Staphylinidae
Exons: 6
Source: RefSeq, a predicted model, not a curated record